This 461-nucleotide long non-coding RNA is filed under the name Struthio camelus australis. RNAcentral's name for it is "lncRNA (ENSSCUG00000006166.1)". Lineage: Eukaryota; Metazoa; Chordata; Aves; Struthioniformes; Struthionidae. The record is from RNAcentral.
CAGUGCAGGAAUGGGACUGUGAAACACAGCUUUGCUUUGCUCUGUUUGCAGGCAGCCUCUGAGACUUGUCGGCGUCAUAAAUCAGCCUGCUCAAAGGUAGCAGCCCGGCACAUGCCCCCUGAGCAGGGAAAAGAGCUUCAGGAUGCCCAGAGGCAGGUUACGGCGGCGAACAGCUGUGUAAAAUUCACACACCUCUGGCAAGGAAAAAAAAAGGCUUUAUGAGAACACAAACAAUUUGGAAUGUGACAGCUAGAAGAAGUCCUCUUUGCUGUCAAUUGAAGCUUGUCUCAUGCACAAUGAACGGGAGAUCUUGGUAAGGAUCCUUCACAUAACAGCCAGAGUUAUGGCUAUGCAAUGUUAUAUGACUAACAGAACUGCACGUGCCAAGUAACUGGCCCGGGUGUAAUUCUCCCUUAGUAGGUAAAAAUAAAAUUGCAGUAGCAAUAUUCUGGGAGUCUAUA